Long non-coding RNA from Papaver somniferum (opium poppy), 288 nucleotides. RefSeq lists it as uncharacterized. The transcript has 2 exons. NCBI's taxonomy places the organism in Eukaryota, Viridiplantae, Streptophyta, Magnoliopsida, Ranunculales, Papaveraceae. The record is from RefSeq and is a predicted model, not a curated record.
AGAUUGUUUUCUUAUUCGGAAUUGCUUGCCAAACUUGGAUUUGUGUUUGGUGCCAUGAAUUAAUGAAUGGAUUUUACCGAAGGGCGAAGCAAGUGAGAAGUUGUUGCGUGCAUUGCUUUUGUUUCAUUUCCAUGUAACUUGAUGUUUUACUUUGAGAGAAUAAAUGUGGAAUACUUAGGAUUAUGAACCACUGUUUAUAAGUUUUUAUUAUACAUUUGAAGGAUUUGUCGAAUGGUGAUUGUCUUUGGAAGCUUUAUUUAAAACUUAAUGUUGAAAACCAUGCUUUUA